AGGAGCAGAAAUAUCCUGCUCGUCCACGAGCACGUCAUCCGCGAGGUCAAUUUCCUGUAAGAGGCAUAAGGCCAUUCCGGCUAGAGGUCGAGAGGCGAGGAGACCCGGUCGACGGCAGUUGGCAAGACAUGCUCUCCAGCCCGAGAAUCUAGGCACGACAGCCACGCUUUCCCCAGAACCGUGGCGUAACACGCAAGAUCCCACGUUUUCCCAUAACGCAGCAGUCAGAGUCCCAUUACACGCAAGAUCUCACAGAAUCGCGACAGCCACGCUUGCCCCAGAACCGUGGCGUAACACGCAAGAUCCCACCUUCGCCCAUGACGCAGCAGUCAGAGUCCC
This 339-nucleotide long non-coding RNA is filed under the name Citrus sinensis (sweet orange). Its description in RNAcentral is "long non-coding RNA (CSIN_LNC005121)". Lineage: Eukaryota; Viridiplantae; Streptophyta; Magnoliopsida; Sapindales; Rutaceae. The record is from RNAcentral.